AAUGACAUCAUUAACAUGUGACAUUUCCUCUACUUGGUAUGGCACUUCCAUUUCUACAUCAUUAGAAUCAAUGCGUCCUCUACGCUUCGUCUUGAUCGCAACACACCAACCUCAUUUGUCCGCGCGUGAUGUAGGAUAUGUUACAUAAUAAACUUGUACAUUAUGUGCAAUUAUAAAAAGAUCAAACAACACACAUCUUUUAUCCAUUCGAAUAUCCACAAUGCCAUACUUUGAAUCCACCCUCGUACCUACUCUCGAUGGAUCAAACCAAUCGCAAUAAAAUAAUACAAUUUUCUUUUCUGUGGUUGUUGAAUUGUAUUCCAACUCAUAGAUGUGUUUAAUCACACCAUAGAAAUCAUCUUGACCUCCUUCUAUUACCCCUUUAACAUGAACCCCGCUAUUUAUUGUCCUCUUGC
Molecule: long non-coding RNA, 416 nt
Filed under: Vigna radiata
Lineage: Eukaryota; Viridiplantae; Streptophyta; Magnoliopsida; Fabales; Fabaceae
Description: long non-coding RNA (VRAD_LNC000740)
Source: RNAcentral